Molecule: transfer RNA, 78 nt
Filed under: Enterococcus faecalis
Lineage: Bacteria; Bacillati; Bacillota; Bacilli; Lactobacillales; Enterococcaceae
Description: tRNA-Asp
Rfam family: tRNA
About the family: Transfer RNA (tRNA) molecules are approximately 80 nucleotides in length. Their secondary structure includes four short double-helical elements and three loops (D, anti-codon, and T loops).
Source: RNAcentral
GGUUUGGUAGUUCAGCUGGUUAGAAUGCACGCCUGUCACGCGAGGAGGUCGCGGGUUCGAGUCCCGUCCAGACCGCCA